RNAcentral lists this ribosomal RNA (525 nucleotides) under uncultured bacterium. Its description in RNAcentral is "bacterial SSU rRNA". It matches the Rfam family "Bacterial small subunit ribosomal RNA", at positions 95 to 606 of the family's 1533-position model. The record is from RNAcentral.
GUGGCGAACGGGUGAGUAACACGUGGGAAAUCUGCCUAGGAGUGGGGGAUAACAUUCGGAAACGGAUGCUAAUACCGCAUAUCUUUUUGAACCGCAUGGUUCUUAAACGAAAGACGGCUUCGGCUGUCGCUCUUAGAUGAUCCCGCGGCGUAUUAGUUAGUUGGUGGGGUAAAGGCCUACCAAGACCAUGAUACGUAGCCGACCUGAGAGGGUGAUCGGCCACACUGGGACUGAGACACGGCCCAGACUCCUACGGGAGGCAGCAGUAGGGAAUCUUCCACAAUGGGUGAAAACCUGAUGGAGCAAUGCCGCGUGAAUGAAGAAGGUCUUCGGAUCGUAAAGUUCUGUUAUUAGAGAAGAACAAGUCAAGGAGUAACUGUCUUGACUUUGACGGUACCUAACCAGAAAGUCACGGCUAACUACGUGCCAGCAGCCGCGGUAAUACGUAGGUGACAAGCGUUGUCCGGAAUUAUUGGGCGUAAAGGGAGCGCAGGCGGUUGGAAUAGUCUGAUGUGAAAGCCCACG